CACGGCCACAAUUAGUUUACAUAUUACAUAACUUUGAAAGACAUAAGUUCAAAUACAUACUUACAAAACCUACUACUUAUGACAGACCCACAUACCUAAUACAUGAGUUUGAAAGAAAAUAGUACCUCGAAAAGUAUACUUGGAAAAUGUACUACUAAAGGGAUUUAAGCCUGACCAUCAUUGACACCCCAACCCUCAUGCUAGACACAUCCUCACCUUCGAACUGCUCUUCCAUCAUAUUCUACAAAGCAAGCAUUUGGCACAACUCAACAUACUUAGCAAUCGCUUUGUCCACAUCCCAACUAACAUGUUUGCCUUUUUUGUAAUCAUUCAUAAUAAAGGCUCUAGUAGUUAUCUCAACUUCGAGCUAACAAUUCUUAAGACAAUCCUCUAAAGAAGCAAUCUGAGCCCCCCCAAGGAUUCAUUCAAAUUUGCAAGCUCCUUCUCCAAUGCAAGUAUUUUACUAAUUUCUCAGCAAACCUAGUAUUCAAAUUUUCGACUUCUCCACGUAACAAGGCAUUUGCAUCUUGCAGCGAGCGGACCUUCUAGCCUGUCUAAUGACUUCGUUCUCCUGAAAAAUAACACCUUGCAAUUCCUAAGUCAAUAAAACAAGUUAGGUUCAGUCAAUUGAGCUAUCCAUAAUGAAGUGUGCAAAAAUAUUAUGCCUAGAAAAUCUGAGCCAAGUCGUCACUUGACCAAGUUGCUCAUAACGUGUCUGGUCUUCAGGAAAUAGAAGACCUUUACCAAGUGCCACCACCCCUAGGUUAGAGAACGCAGAUCAAUUGAAAGGAAAAGUAAGCACGAUCAAAACAUCAUCUACCAAUGAUAGCCUUGGAUGACCGCUGAGGAGGAAGUAUCAGGCAGCUCGGUCUGACUAAAAAAAUUCCUUAGAUGGGACUAAAGUGUCAACUAUCCCCGUAAAAGAAUAAACCUUCUUAGUUCGCUCCUUCGCCCUUCUUCUCUUCAAAGCAUCAAGCAAAAAUCUUAUUACCCCUGAUAUGAUUCAAUAUGCAAUCUCACGACCAGCCGAAUUAAACGGACUUCACAAAGCUAGGUCAUUACCAGGAUUUUCAUAUCUCUCUUUGCCAUUAUUAUAGGGACUAUAUGUCUUGAAAAAUAAGGAAUACCUCUUGGUUCUACUGAAGUACGAUCCCCCAAGCUAAACGAAGAUAGGACCUCCAAAGAUAGGAGAAACUGACAAUUCUUCUAAUCUUUGGGUAUUACGAACAUCUUUGAAACACACUCCUUUAUUAUUAAGACUCUGGCAGGUUAUGGGUUGAUACAAUGACCUGCAAGAAAAAAUAUGUUGUGAGAAAAUAAUCUACGAAACUCACCUUGUGAUCACGUUGAAGGAAAACGAUAAUCCUCCGACCAAACCAAAUAGCCUAAGAGGAGGAAAUAAGACUCUUUUCCAGCCCUUAUCUCCAGAAGAAAGUCCAACUAUCAAUCGAUCGGUAUUUUUCUUUACAUUUAAGGAAAAUAGACAUUUCUCAACAUCUGCUCCCUUAUGAAAUAACUAUGCAACAAUUUUGACAUGCUAAAUGAGUUAUUGUACCACUCGACCAAGACUUGGAGGUUUAAGAGCAAUUGCAAAGAGUUGAGUAUGAGUUCACUAUUUGCAAUUUCAAAAUACUCCAACAUAUCUUAACUAUUUGAGGAAUCGAAAAUCGGAAGCCAUCUUUAAAUGGCAACUUAUAGGAAAAAUACAGCCUAUGACAUUCCAUGACUCUUUCAUGCAAUUGCGGUAGAUAAAGUUGAACGGAUGCUAGAAUAUCAUAGGCAUCCCCAAUUCUAAUCUAGUCAACCUCCGUCAGUUUGCUUGAUAUUUUCUUAGUAAACAUGAUAUCACUCGUGAUUUGAAGGCUCUAUUCAUAAAAACUAUGUCUAGGAUCGCCACCAUCAAGAUCUAGAUUAGCCAACCCACUAUCAAUGCACAUACUUUUCGAAUCAACUUCAUAAGAAGAACAAAUCCCAGGAUCACUAUAAACCCUACUAGUGUUGGCUCGUCCAAAUGAUCUAAGCUUGUAUAGUCAUUAGUCAAUAAUUUUCAUUCAAAUGUGUAGAUCUUCUUACACCUCCGAUUGGCCAAAUUACAGAUGGAAUUCCAUACGGGACAUCACAAAAAUCACUUAAAUCCAUUAUUUUAUAAAACCAACUAUUAACUAGUGGUUUCACACUAUCAUGGAUCAAAACUCCAUAAACAUAGAAUCGAAACAUAUGCGACUACCGAAUAACUUGGAAAGAUAUUUGAAAAACAUUCAAAAAAUAAAAUAAGAGCUUGGAAAAAGUCCCAGAAUUUCUAGAGCUGCUUCGAGUUAACCCGAGAAGCCAUAUGAGAAGUGAAGAAUGAAGCUUUUAAAUUGUAAAAUGGCAUGCUAAAUGAAGUGAUGAAAUGACUCCCUAAAUUUGUUCAAAGUC
RNAcentral lists this long non-coding RNA (2418 nucleotides) under Olea europaea subsp. europaea. The record is from RNAcentral. Lineage: Eukaryota; Viridiplantae; Streptophyta; Magnoliopsida; Lamiales; Oleaceae.